RNAcentral lists this long non-coding RNA (1672 nucleotides) under Homo sapiens (human). Its description in RNAcentral is "HSALNT0082784". The record is from RNAcentral. Lineage: Eukaryota; Metazoa; Chordata; Mammalia; Primates; Hominidae.
GUUGAAUUUGUUGUAAUUUUCUAAAAACCUCAUAUAAUUUCCUGUGAGCUUGACCCUUCUGUUGAAGUCCAGCUGACAUUUUGGUUCUCGUGGAAUGUAACACGCUACGGGGAUCAGCCGUUUGGUGAGUCUGAGGUAAACCUUUUAUUGGAAGAGCAGUGUCUUAGAUGAAAUGAGCUUUGAACGAUUUGGGGAAGUAGAGCAAUGGGGGGUGGGGAAAGACUUUCUGCUGCAGACAAAGGUUCCCUACAUGUCUGCCCUGAUCCUGCACCUUUGUGCCCUCUGAACAAUGAAGACAAGCCAGGCAAACCCCAGUGAUGCUUUAACCUGCAGCUCGGGACAGCCUCCACUCUGUCUCAGACUCGCCCGGCUGUGUUCUGGCUUCUGCCUGGGGUUCAGCCACGGGCUCACCUGUCCUUGCAGCAGAACCUCUGUCUUUGGAGUUGGUGCUGGUCUUUGAGUCAUUUCUUUGCCUGUGAUUCAGUCAAGCCUGGUUGGAUUCAGACCAGCAUGAAGGGUCCGACUGCUCCUAAUUCUCCCUCCCAGCUGGGCCUGCUUCAAAUCCUCCAGCAUUCAGCCCAGCAAACCAUGAUCUAGCCCAACGCUCCCUCUGGGCAUGUGCCUCUCCAAGAUGCCGCAGGCAGAGGAAGCUGAAAGGCUGAGUGAGCCUCCCAUUUGAAUGUCUGCUUUUUCUAGGGCAAGCUGUUCUUUUCCAUACCUUGUUUGUAAGACAGAGAAGGGGUCCGCCUGAAUUGUACCGGGCACUGUGUUAGCGCUCCAUGCAGAUGGGCCAGGUUGCUUUCACUCUUCUGAGAUUAACAGUUGCACUUCUUAAUAACAGAGCCAUUUCACAGUUUGAUACCAAGCACCCAUACAGACAAUAUUUGGAGUCAGUGAAGAGAGUUUUUGCAAAUGUCUUAGAAGAUAAAUUAGCGACAGUGUGAGAGAUCAGUUUGCACUGUGCUUCAGUUUUCCAUUGCAGGCUCUUACUAACCUGAUCCCAUUACAGCUUUGAAUUAGGAAAUAAGCCUGAGGCACAAAUAGCUGUGAAAGCUUUGUUUGGUUGAGGGUUUUGGAAUUCGAAUGCUUAACAAAAGUUUGCAAAAUCCUGUGAAAUUUCUUUCUUUUCUUUUUUUUUUUUUUUUUUUUGCAUUUCAUUUACCUUGUCUUAUUUGUUCUUUCUGUUCUCUCUAGUCUUAUUUUCAAAUGCAAUUAAGACCACCUAGUUCUGUCAUUGGCUGGAAUUCCCAGGAAUCAGUGACCCUUUGAUAGAGGUGUGUGUGCCCUGCCCAGGGGACCCAGUGGGCAGCAUGAGGCUCCCCUCUCCCCUUUCUCAACCAGCCUGGAGUAUGUUGGAAAUAAAACAGAGAGCUAAAGAAUGUGGAGAAACUGCCGGCCUGAACCCAACUAGAGUGGAAAACAUCCAAGGAAGGCUGGUGGCGCUGGGAAGUGAGCUGAGUCUCUUGGGUUCUAAAAAGCUGGAAGGAUUGGAGCAGGAACCCAGCCCCACACUUUCCAGCUUGUUUUGUCGACAGGAAUGUUUUGCUGGAGGAAAGGCCUGAGGAGAAGUUUGAUUUUCUGUAACUCAAGUAGAUUUGGAACAUUGCUCUUCCUUUCCAUUGCAAACAGUUUUUUCUUCCAAUGCUGAUAUUCGUUGAGAUGUUUAACUCCU